Mus musculus (house mouse) is the source of this 519-nucleotide long non-coding RNA. RefSeq annotates it as predicted gene, 52244. The transcript has 2 exons. NCBI's taxonomy places the organism in Eukaryota, Metazoa, Chordata, Mammalia, Rodentia, Muridae. The record is from RefSeq and is a predicted model, not a curated record.
CUACAAUGUUGCGGUACAGAGUAAAAACAGAGAAUGGCUCAAGUCUUAAAGAUCUCAAAGCCAGCCUCCAAUGGCACAUUUCCUCCAAUUAGGUCACAGUACCUCAGCAUUUCCAAAUGAAGCUACCAACUGGGCAGCAAGCAUUCAAAUGUCUAGGACUGUGCUGGUCAUUUCAUAUGAAGCACCAUAAAGCAAUGCUAAAAACCAUUUGGCAGUCUAAAAAAGAAACCCCUGGAAGACAUGAGGGAAACAUCUUGGCAGUAGCAACAUUUGGAGCGAAGAGAGGAAAGGUACCUCUUCCUCCCAAGAGGGCAAUAUUCAAACUGAUGUUGCCCAGACAGUGAAGCGAAUGUUUUAUUCUUCUUGGUUUAACUUUCCUAGAGUGUAUUUUAAUGCCAUUUUUUAAAAACUUAAGUGAGCUGCACAUCCUAAUGAGCCAAACCAUGUUUAAAGGUCCUGAUGAAAACAAACACGAACAAAUCUACAGCAAACUUAAAACAAGCGAGUAUAACUAACGAA